GGGUUUCGGCUCGUAAACUUCUGUUGUUAAAGAAGAACAUAUCUGAGAGUAACUGUUCAGGUAUUGACGGUAUUUAACCAGAAAGCCACGGCUAACUACGUGCCAGCAGCCGCGGUAAUACGUAGGUGGCAAGCGUUGUCCGGAUUUAUUGGGCGUAAAGCGAGCGCAGGCGGUUUUUUAAGUCUGAUGUGAAAGCCUUCGGCUCAACCGAAGAAGUGCAUCGGAAACUGGGAGACUUGAGUGCAGAAGAGGACAGUGGAACUCCAUGUGUAGCGGUGAAAUGCGUAGAUAUAUGGAAGAACACCAGUGGCGAAGGCGGCUGUCUGGUCUGUAACUGACGCUGAGGCUCGAAAGUAUGGGUAGCAAACAGGAUUAGAUACCCUGGUAGUCCAUACCGUAAACGAUGAAUGCUAAGUGUUGGAGGGUUUCCGCCCUUCAGUGCUGCAGCUAACGCAUUAAGCAUUCCGCCUGGGGAGUACGGCCGCAAGGCUGAAACUCAAAGGAAUUGACGGGGGCCCGCACAAGCGGUGGAGCAUGUGGUUUAAUUCGAAGCUACGCGAAGAACCUUACCAGGUCUUGACAUACUAUGCAAAUCUAAGAGAUUAGACGUUCCCUUCGGGGACAUGGAUACAGGUGGUGCAUGGUUGUCGUCAGCUCGUGUCGUGAGAUGUUGGGUUAAGUCCCGCAACGAGCGCAACCCUUAUUAUCAGUUGCCAGCAUUAAGUUGGGCACUCUGGUGAGACUGCCGGUGACAAACCGGAGGAAGGUGGGGAUGACGUCAAAUCAUCAUGCCCCUUAUGACCUGGGCUACACACGUGCUACAAUGGAUGGUACAACGAGUUGCGAACUCGCGAGAGUAAGCUAAUCUCUUAAAGCCAUUCUCAGUUCGGAUUGUAGGCUGCAACUCGCCUACAUGAAGUCGGAAUCGCUAGUAAUCGCGGAUCAGCAUGCCGCGGUGAAUACGUUCCCGGGCCUUGUACACACCGCCCGUCACACCAUGAGAGUUUGUAACACCCAAAGUCGGUGGGGUAACCUUAUAGGAACCAACCGACCUAAGGGAGCC
Molecule: ribosomal RNA, 1063 nt
Filed under: Lactiplantibacillus plantarum
Lineage: Bacteria; Bacillati; Bacillota; Bacilli; Lactobacillales; Lactobacillaceae
Description: bacterial SSU rRNA
Rfam family: Bacterial small subunit ribosomal RNA
Source: RNAcentral